AGUAACGGCGAGUGAAGCGGCAACAGCUCAAAUUUGAAAUCUGGCUCUUUCAGAGUCCGAGUUGUAAUUUGCAGAGGGCGCUUUGGCUUUGGCAGCGGUCCAAGUUCCUUGGAACAGGACGUCACAGAGGGUGAGAAUCCCGUACGUGGUCGCUAGCUAUUGCCGUGUAAAGCCCCUUCGACGAGUCGAGUUGUUUGGGAAUGCAGCUCUAAAUGGGAGGUAAAUUUCUUCUAAAGCUAAAUAUUGGCCAGAGACCGAUAGCGCACAAGUAGAGUGAUCGAAAGAUGAAAAGCACUUUGGAAAGAGAGUCAAACAGCACGUGAAAUUGUUGAAAGGGAAGCGCUUGCAGCCAGACUUGCUUGCAGUUGCUCAUCCGGGCUUUUGCCCGGUGCACUCUUCUGCAGGCAGGCCAGCAUCAGUUUGGGCGGUGGGAUAAAGGUCUCUGACACGUUCCACCUUUCGGGGUGGACAUAUAGGGGAGAUGACAUACCACCAGCCUGGACUGAGGUCCGCGCAUCUGCUAGGAUGCUGGCGUAAUGGCUGUAAGCGGCCCGUCUUGAAACACGGACCAAGGAGUCUAACAUCUAUGCGAGUGUUUGGGUGUCAAGCCCGAGCGCGUAAUGAAAGUGAACGGAGGUGGGAACCCGCAAGGGUGCACCAUCGACCGAUCCUGAAGUUUACGGAAGGAUUUGAGUAAGAGCAUGGCUGUUGGGACCCGAGAGAUGGUGAACUAUGCUUGAAUAGGGUGAAGCCAGAGGAAACUCUGGUGGAGGCUCGCAGCGGUUCUGACGUGCAGAUCGAUCGUCAAA
RNAcentral lists this ribosomal RNA (809 nucleotides) under Curvularia lunata. RNAcentral's name for it is "partial large subunit ribosomal RNA". It matches the Rfam family "Eukaryotic large subunit ribosomal RNA", at positions 82 to 909 of the family's 3401-position model. Lineage: Eukaryota; Fungi; Ascomycota; Dothideomycetes; Pleosporales; Pleosporaceae. The record is from RNAcentral.